This 253-nucleotide ribosomal RNA is filed under the name uncultured bacterium. RNAcentral's name for it is "partial 16S ribosomal RNA". It matches the Rfam family "Bacterial small subunit ribosomal RNA", at positions 524 to 776 of the family's 1533-position model. The record is from RNAcentral.
CACGUAGGGCGCAAGCGUUGUCCGGAAUUAUUGGGCGUAAAGAGCUCGUAGGCGGUUUGUCGCGUCUGCUGUGAAAACUCGGGGCUUAACUCCGGGCCUGCAGUGGGUACGGGCAGACUAGAGUGCGGUAGGGGAGACUGGAAUUCCUGGUGUAGCGGUGAAAUGCGUAGAGAUCCGGAGGAACACCAGCGGCGAAGGCGGCGUCCUGGACUGGUACUGACGCUCAGGCGCGAAAGCUAGGGGAGCAAACGGG